RNAcentral lists this ribosomal RNA (581 nucleotides) under uncultured bacterium. RNAcentral describes it as "partial 16S ribosomal RNA". It matches the Rfam family "Bacterial small subunit ribosomal RNA", at positions 355 to 929 of the family's 1533-position model. The record is from RNAcentral.
UGGGGAAUUUUGGACAAUGGGGGAAACCCUGAUCCAGCCAUCCCGCGUGUGCGAUGAAGGCCUUCGGGUUGUAAAGCACUUUUGGCAGGAAAGAAACGUCGCGGGUUAAUACCCCGCGAAACUGACGGUACCUGCAGAAUAAGCACCGGCUAACUACGUGCCAGCAGCCGCGGUAAUACGUAGGGUGCAAGCGUUAAUCGGAAUUACUGGGCGUAAAGCGUGCGCAGGCGGUUCGGAAAGAAAGAUGUGAAAUCCCAGAGCUUAACUUUGGAACUGCAUUUUUAACUACCGGGCUAGAGUGUGUCAGAGGGAGGUGGAAUUCCGCGUGUAGCAGUGAAAUGCGUAGAUAUGCGGAGGAACGCCGAUGGCGAAGGCAGCCUCCUGGGAUAACACUGACGCUCAUGCACGAAAGCGUGGGGAGCAAACAGGAUUAGAUACCCUGGUAGUCCACGCCCUAAACGAUGUCAACUAGCUGUUGGGGCCUUCGGGCCUUGGUAGCGCAGCUAACGCGUGAAGUUGACCGCCUGGGGAGUACGGUCGCAAGAUUAAAACUUAAAGGAAUUGACGGGGGUGCAUAGCUG